GCGGUUAUGGUGCAUAAGGAAAUCUUUAUGCACCCUGCAUAAAUCCAGAAAUGGUUUUGGAGUACAACUCACAGAAACCAUUUCCACAUCAAAAUGAUUUUGGCAUAAUUGGGCUGGGAUUUAUGCAGAGUGCUGGAAACCAUUAAGUACAUCUAAUGAUUUUGUAGUACGACUCACAAAAACCAUUUUUGAAUUUAUGCAGGGUGCAUAAGGAUUUCCUUAUGCACCAUAACCG
This 235-nucleotide microRNA precursor is filed under the name Medicago truncatula (barrel medic). RNAcentral's name for it is "miR2652b stem-loop (mtr-MIR2652b)". The record is from miRBase by way of RNAcentral. Lineage: Eukaryota; Viridiplantae; Streptophyta; Magnoliopsida; Fabales; Fabaceae.